This 20-nucleotide non-coding RNA is filed under the name Mus musculus (house mouse). Lineage: Eukaryota; Metazoa; Chordata; Mammalia; Rodentia; Muridae. The record is from RNAcentral.
UAAGACAAAAAGACCACCAA